AUUGAACGCUGGCGGCAGGCCUAACACAUGCAAGUCGAGCGGAUGAAGGGAGCUUGCUCCUGGAUUCAGCGACGGACGGGUGAGUAAUGCCUAGGAAUCUGCCUGGUAGUGGGGGAUAACGUCCGGAAACGGGCGCUAAUACCGCAUACGUCCUGAGGGAGAAAGUGGGGGAUCUUCGGACCUCACGCUAUCAGAUGAGCCUAGGUCGGAUUAGCUAGUUGGUGGGGUAAAGGCCUACCAAGGCGACGAUCCGUAACUGGUCUGAGAGGAUGAUCAGUCACACUGGAACUGAGACACGGUCCAGACUCCUACGGGAGGCAGCAGUGGGGAAUAUUGGACAAUGGGCGAAAGCCUGAUCCAGCCAUGCCGCGUGUGUGAAGAAGGUCUUCGGAUUGUAAAGCACUUUAAGUUGGGAGGAAGGGCAGUAAGUUAAUACCUUGCUGUUUUGACGUUACCAACAGAAUAAGCACCGGCUAACUUCGU
RNAcentral lists this ribosomal RNA (483 nucleotides) under uncultured bacterium. RNAcentral's name for it is "partial 16S ribosomal RNA". It matches the Rfam family "Bacterial small subunit ribosomal RNA", at positions 30 to 506 of the family's 1533-position model. The record is from RNAcentral.